Molecule: non-coding RNA, 250 nt
Organism: Pelobates cultripes (western spadefoot toad)
Lineage: Eukaryota; Metazoa; Chordata; Amphibia; Anura; Pelobatidae
Source: the annotation of a GenBank genome assembly
CCAAUUUCUAAGUGCCAAGAGAAAACACUUUUCACACAAAGAAUUGCAGCAAACUGAAGUUUUAAGGGUCUGUAGUGUUUGGCAUUAACCCUAUUAGAAUCCUGCUUACCACAGUCAAGUAAAACCUUUCCAUCAUCACAUCGCAGGCAGGUAGAACAAGGCAUUGGAUGUCAAGGACUCCUUUUACUCAUCAAAACUCUUCAAAAUGGGUUCACAUAAACAAAAGAGACAUCACUUCGAACACCAUAAC